CAGACUCCCACAUUGCCUAGCAGCUGGGGUUGGAGCCCAAGGCUUCACUCUCCUCUCCCCACCACCCCAUGCUAGGCCCAAGGGCAGCACCACAAAGGGGCACUGCCAGGCGCCUCCACCCCAGACACUUGUGAGGGCUCCAGGACACCAGGUCUGGCACAUUCCCAUCCUGGGGACCUAACAGGCUAGCAGGCGAGGCAGACAGUUGGCCAGUUAGCUCCAGUCCUAGGUAGAUGGAGAAUGGCCUUUCCGAGAGGUCCCAGCAGGAGGAUGUGACAAUGGAGGGACAAAGCAGAGGCUUCCGGCCCUCGCUGGUCUCCUGUGCUCCAAGACAUCUUCCACAAAGGAUUUCCUGGACUCCCCCCCAACACUUGUGCAAAGCCAAGUCUACUCUGGGUAAGGAAGACAUGAUUCCCACCAAGCAACAGUGAGGGCCUCCCUCUCCUAGCACUCUAGAUGCAAAGCUGUUGGCCAACAUCCCUCAGUAAACGGAGGACAUAGAAAACAAUGUCAGCUCCUGGCACUGCAGACUCCCUUGCUCUAGGCAUGGAUUCUUCUGAUUUCAGAGACUGUUUCCAGCAUAAUGGUCCCUCACGCUACCCCUUCCAUGGCCUCUGACCAUCAGCCUUCCAAAUCUAAAGGUGAACAUUUAUUCUUUCCCCCAAACCAUCCCGUAGCAACUGAGCCUGCUGAGACCUUGAUUCAGCCAUCUCUUCUCCCUCAAGGGCACAACUGAUCAGCAAGCCUUCUAUGUAUUCAUCCUGGUUGCAUAUUUAGAAAAUAAAUGGACCGGCCAAUCACAGAGGCCUGCCCUUUAGGCUGCUGCUGAACCUCACUCACUGGGGUGUGGCUGCAGAAGCUACCAUCUGAACCACAUGCAUCCACCUUGUCCAUGAGGACAUUGUGAGAUUUCACCCAGUAUCUUCUGGAAUCCAGGUGAUGCGGCCGGCCAACAGCACGUCUUGUACUACUAACCAGUCACCCUGCUGGAAGAGGAACUGGGGUGGAUGGAGUGCUUUUCAAACAUGUCCACAAAUUCUUCAACACUCUUUCCCCAUCAAGAGGUGGUGUCUAAUUCCCCCCGACCUUGAAUAUGGGCUGGCCCCAGGGACUUCAGUGCAAUGGAAUGUGUAAUGCUGCAUGACUUAUGAGGCUAAGGCAUGAAAGGCAAGACAGCUUCUCGCUGGCCCUUUCCUGGGAAGCUCCCUCUUGGAACCCAGCCACCAUGUUGUGAGGAAGCCCAGGCCACUUGGAGAGGCUACAUUUGAGUGGUCUGGCUGACAGUCCACACUGACCACCAGGUAUGGGAGUGCGCAAACCUUGGAGAUGACUUAGCCCCAGACAACUUCUGACUGUAACUGUAUGACAGACCUUCUCACUCCUGCCAAACAAGAACCACUUAGCUGAGCCCAGCUGGCACCAGGACCAUGACAGAGAAUAACAACAACAACAACAACAACAACAACAAUAAUAAUAAUAAUAAUAAUA
Molecule: long non-coding RNA, 1488 nt
Filed under: Homo sapiens (human)
Lineage: Eukaryota; Metazoa; Chordata; Mammalia; Primates; Hominidae
Description: HSALNT0051351
Source: RNAcentral